RNAcentral lists this ribosomal RNA (497 nucleotides) under uncultured bacterium. RNAcentral describes it as "partial 16S ribosomal RNA". It matches the Rfam family "Bacterial small subunit ribosomal RNA", at positions 28 to 507 of the family's 1533-position model. The record is from RNAcentral.
GACGAACGCUGGCGGCGUGCCUAAAACAUGCAAGUUGAGCGCUGAAGGUUGGUCCCUGUACCAACUGGAUGAGCAGCGAACGGGUGAGUAACGCGUGGGGAAUCUGCCUUUGAGCGGGGGACAACAUUUGGAAACGAAUGCUAAUACCGCAUAAAAACUUUAAACACAAGUUUUAAGUUUGAAAGAUGCAAUUGCAUCACUCAAAGAUGAUCCCGCGUUGUAUUAGCUAGUUGGUGAGGUAAAGGCUCACCAAGGCGAUGAUACAUAGCCGACCUGAGAGGGUGAUCGGCCACAUUGGGACUGAGACACGGCCCAAACUCCUACGGGAGGCAGCAGUAGGGAAUCUUCGGCAAUGGACGAAAGUCUGACCGAGCAACGCCGCGUGAGUGAAGAAGGUUUUCGGAUCGUAAAACUCUGUUGGUAGAGAAGAACGUUGGUGAGAGUGGAAAGCUCAUCAAGUGACGGUAACUACCCAGAAAGGGACGGCUAACUACGUG